Molecule: ribosomal RNA, 499 nt
Filed under: uncultured bacterium
Lineage: Bacteria
Description: bacterial SSU rRNA
Rfam family: Bacterial small subunit ribosomal RNA
Source: RNAcentral
UAGUCCACGCCGUAAACGAUGAUUACUCGCUGUAGGCGAUACACAGUCUGUGGCUAAGCGAAAGUUUUAAGUAAUCCACCUGGGGAGUACGAUCGCAAGAUUGAAACUCAAAGGAAUUGACGGGGGCCCGCACAAGCGGAGGAACAUGUGGUUUAAUUCGAUGAUACGCGAGGAACCUUACCUGGACUUAAAUGUACGUUGCAUAGAUUGGAGACAGUCUUUUCUUCGGACUACGUACAAGGUGCUGCAUGGUUGUCGUCAGCUCGUGCCGUGAGGUGUCCGGUUAAGUCCCAUAACGAGCGCAACCCCUAUCCUUAGUUGCCAUCAGGUUAUGCUGGGGACUCUAGCGAAACUGCCCGUGCAAACGGAGAGGAAGGUGGGGAUGACGUCAAAUCAGCACGGCCCUUACGUCCAGGGCUACACACGUGUUACAAUGGCAUAGACAGGGGGCAGCUACACAGCGAUGUGAUGCGAAUCUCGAAACUAUGUCUCAGUUCGG